CCUACGGGUGGCAGCAGCGGGGAAUAUUGGACAAUGGGGGGAACCCUGAUCCAGCCAUGCCGCGUGUGUGAAGAAGGCCCUCGGGUUGUAAAGCACUUUCAGUGAGGAAGAACGCCUGGUGGUUAAUACCCAUCAGGAAAGACAUCACUCACAGAAGAAGCACCGGCUAACUCCGUGCCAGCAGCCGCGGUAAUACGGAGGGUGCGAGCGUUAAUCGGAAUUACUGGGCGUAAAGCGCGCGUAGGUGGCUUGAUAAGCCGGUUGUGAAAGCCCCGGGCUCAACCUGGGAACGGCAUCCGGAACUGUCAAGCUAGAGUGCAGGAGAGGAAGGUAGAAUUCCCGGUGUAGCGGUGAAAUGCGUAGAGAUCGGGAGGAAUACCAGUGGCGAAGGCGGCCUUCUGGACUGACACUGACACUGAGGUGCGAAAGCGUGGGUAGCAAACAGGAUUAGAUACCCUUGUAGUC
This 465-nucleotide ribosomal RNA is filed under the name Vreelandella stevensii. RNAcentral's name for it is "partial 16S ribosomal RNA". It matches the Rfam family "Bacterial small subunit ribosomal RNA", at positions 338 to 795 of the family's 1533-position model. The record is from RNAcentral. Lineage: Bacteria; Pseudomonadati; Pseudomonadota; Gammaproteobacteria; Oceanospirillales; Halomonadaceae.